GUCGAACGGCAGCAUGAUCUAGCUUGCUAGAUUGAUGGCGAGUGGCGAACGGGUGAGUAAUACAUCGGAACGUGCCCUGUAGUGGGGGAUAACUAGUCGAAAGAUUAGCUAAUACCGCAUACGACCUGAGGGUGAAAGUGGGGGACCGCAAGGCCUCAUGCUAUAGGAGCGGCCGAUGUCUGAUUAGCUAGUUGGUGGGGUAAAGGCCCACCAAGGCGACGAUCAGUAGCUGGUCUGAGAGGACGAUCAGCCACACUGGGACUGAGACACGGCCCAGACUCCUACGGGAGGCAGCAGUGGGGAAUUUUGGACAAUGGGCGAAAGCCUGAUCCAGCAAUGCCGCGUGUGUGAAGAAGGCCUUCGGGUUGUAAAGCACUUUUGUCCGGAAAGAAAUGGCUCUGGUUAAUACCUGGGGUCGAUGACGGUACCGGAAGAAUAAGGACCGGCUAACUACGUGCCAGCAGCCGCGGUAAUACGUAGGGUCCAAGCGUUAAUCGGAAUUACUGGGCGUAAAGCGUGCGCAGGCGGUUGUGCAAGACCGAUGUGAAAUCCCCGAGCUUAACUUGGGAAUUGCAUUGGUGACUGCACGGCUAGAGUGUGUCAGAGGGGGGUAGAAUUCCACGUGUAGCAGUGAAAUGCGUAGAGAUGUGGAGGAAUACCGAUGGCGAAGGCAGCCCCCUGGGAUAACACUGACGCUCAUGCACGAAAGCGUGGGGAGCAAACAGGAUUAGAUACCCUGGUAGUCCACGCCCUAAACGAUGUCAACUAGUUGUUGGGGAUUCAUUUCCUUAGUAACGUAGCUAACGCGUGAAGUUGACCGCCUGGGGAGUACGGUCGCAAGAUUAAAACUCAAAGGAAUUGACGGGGACCCGCACAAGCGGUGGAUGAUGUGGAUUAAUUCGAUGCAACGCGAAAAACCUUACCUACCCUUGACAUGCCACUAACGAAGCAGAGAUGCAUUAGGUGCUCGAAAGAGAAAGUGGACACAGGUGCUGCAUGGCUGUCGUCAGCUCGUGUCGUGAGAUGUUGGGUUAAGUCCCGCAACGAGCGCAACCCUUGUCUCUAGUUGCUACGAAAGGGCACUCUAGAGAGACUGCCGGUGACAAACCGGAGGAAGGUGGGGAUGACGUCAAGUCCUCAUGGCCCUUAUGGGUAGGGCUUCACACGUCAUACAAUGGUGCAUACAGAGGGUUGCCAAGCCGCGAGGUGGAGCUAAUCCCAGAAAAUGCAUCGUAGUCCGGAUCGUAGUCUGCAACUCGACUACGUGAAGCUGGAAUCGCUAGUAAUCGCGGAUCAGCAUGCCGCGGUGAUACGUUCCCGGGUCUUGUACACACCGCCCGUCACACCAUGGGAGUGGGCUUUACCAGAAGU
Molecule: ribosomal RNA, 1371 nt
Filed under: uncultured Ralstonia sp.
Lineage: Bacteria; Pseudomonadati; Pseudomonadota; Betaproteobacteria; Burkholderiales; Burkholderiaceae
Description: bacterial SSU rRNA
Rfam family: Bacterial small subunit ribosomal RNA
Source: RNAcentral